CCUACGGGGGACAGCAGUGGGGAAUAUUGCACAAUGGGGGAAACCCUGAUGCAGCGACGCCGCGUGAGUGAAGAAGGAUUUCGGUACGUAAAGCUCUAUCAGCAGGGAAGAAGAAGGACGGUACCUGACUAAGAAGCCCCGGCUAACUACGUGCCAGCAGCCGCGGUAAUACGUAGGGGGCAAGCGUUAUCCGGAUUUACUGGGUGUAAAGGGAGCGUAGACGGCUGUGCAAGUCUGAAGUGAAAGCCCAGGGCGCAACCCUGGGACUGCUUUGGAAACUGUGGAGCUAGAGUGCUGGAGAGGUAAGUGGAAUUCCUAGUGUAGCGGUGAAAUGCGUAGAUAUUAGGAGGAACACCAGUGGCGAAGGCGGCUUACUGGACAGUAACUGACGUUGAGGCUCGAAAGCGUGGGGAGCAAACAGGAUUAGAUACCCCAGUAGUC
This 441-nucleotide ribosomal RNA is filed under the name uncultured bacterium. RNAcentral describes it as "partial 16S ribosomal RNA". It matches the Rfam family "Bacterial small subunit ribosomal RNA", at positions 338 to 795 of the family's 1533-position model. The record is from RNAcentral.